UUGUUAAAAAUCAGACAUAAAAUACUUUCUUCGCUAAUUUUAACAGCAGCCAUUGUCACGUAUAGUCUGAUCGAAGGUUUUCUAGACAACCGAAUAUUUUCUUUGUUGGUUAAUGGACAACUUAAUUUUGCUUUACUUCAGCUUUAAAAAAAAUCAAGGGAUUUUUUUUUCAUUGAAAUAACUUCUCUUUAAUAAGUCUUAAGGAAAUUAUAGUAUCCUCGUUAAUUGCCUGAUUCUACCAAGUACUUUUAGGCUAGUUAGGAAAAUGGUAUAGUGAGUGAACGAAAGGUUCACUACGUUAACACUGCAACGGUCGUGAUCUUUGUUUAUAACGGACGGUCCGUAUAUAGACUUAUUCCUAUAUUGGUGCUUAUAUCAUAAUGCUCAAAAGGUAGCUUGGCUCUGUCAAUGAGGCGACAACACAGUAUGAUCAUGACGUAUAUCCCCCGUUCAUGGUAUGAUUGAACACGAUAUUCUGGGAAAGAGAAAGUAGCCAAUAGGACUUCCGCUAGAGACAGACAUGUCAACUGACCGCACUUUCAUCAUGUUUUUAAAACCAUUCAGAAAGAACCUCAAACUGCGAUGAAAACUCAGACAGAAAAAAAUUGCGUUCAGGGGUAGAGAAACAGUUUCCCGAAACUAACCAAGUGACCAGGUUGCCGAACUAAUUCCAGGCAAAGGUGACAUGACACAAAUGAAGGUGGAAACUCACACUGAUGAUCA
Long non-coding RNA from Pomacea canaliculata, 723 nucleotides. RefSeq lists it as uncharacterized. The transcript has 3 exons. The record is from RefSeq and is a predicted model, not a curated record. Lineage: Eukaryota; Metazoa; Mollusca; Gastropoda; Architaenioglossa; Ampullariidae.